Molecule: ribosomal RNA, 2865 nt
Filed under: Triticum aestivum (bread wheat)
Lineage: Eukaryota; Viridiplantae; Streptophyta; Magnoliopsida; Poales; Poaceae
Description: partial small subunit ribosomal RNA
Source: RNAcentral
AUGGGGGCUCGUCGCUUCCGUCGACACCAGGACGCUGAUCCCGCAACGCCAAGCUCUCCAUCCCCCAAGUCCGAGCGCAUCCGCAAGUUACGCUCUGUUUCGUUUCCAGCUGCCGAUGCGAUUGCACUGUGUCACGUUCUCUCCCCUCCCCUUCCUCCUGACACACCCACCCACCUCCCUCGACUUCGAUCUAGAUCGGGAAGCCCGGGCCGCCCGCCUCUUCCUCUCCCUCCCGACCACAGCGAGCCACCUUCCACGACUAGCAAUCCGAGGAGCUCCGCCUCCCUCUUAUUCUCCCCCACCCCCACUGGCGACGGAGGCGAGGUGAAAAUUCCCCACGAACCGGAGCGCUUGCCUGCCGAUGGAGGUCUCAGCCAGGCUCCGCCCGCCGUCUCCCGCCUCGACGGCGCCGCCCCGCCGUGGCGGAGGGUCCCUGCGGCGGCUGCUCCCUUCGGCCCGGCCCGCCUCCCGAGCGGUCUCCGCCAAGGUGCUUCCCAGUGCGGAGCCUCACCACUCUCCAGCCUCCGCGCCCCUCUCUCCCCUCUCCUCGCAAUGGUGGCCGCGCCUCCCCAGCCCACCGCGCCCGCCCCCGCCCCCGCGAGCGGCGGCGACGCGUUCCACAUGGGCUUCGUCGGCGUGGGGAACCUGGCCGAGAGCAUCGCGCGCGGCGUCGCGGCGUCGGGCGUCCUCCCGGCCUCCGCCGUCCGCACCGCGCCCCACCGCCGGCCUGAGCGCGGCGCCGCCUUCGCCUCCCUUGGCGCCACCAUCCUCGCAUCCAACGCUCAGGUCGGUCCGCCGGCCUCCUGCUCCUCCCCACAUCUGAUUCACCCCGCCUUCCCUCACUCCGCUCGAAGCAGCCAAGCAUCUCUGUCUAUCUGUCACGUGUUCACGCUUGACAGCCACUCCGUAUCUCACGUGAUGUUUUUCCUUCUCGUCGUAGUGAAGCAGGUUCUGGUUGAGCUCAAGCCCUUGUUGUCUGAAGAAAAGCUUCUGGUCUCCAUUGCCGCUGGCAUCAAAAUGAAAGAUUUGCAGUACUAUGAAAUAUCAGAGCUAUUCUGUCAGCGCCUCAACAGCGAUAAAGUUCAGAUCAUGAAUAAUGGCAUUACAAGUGAACUUGGCACAAUUACAUAUGUCCUGAACCUCAUAGAAUCUGACACUAGCAAGUGUUCAUUGGCAUGCAAUUCUAGCCCCCCUAUCUUUAAUUCCUGGCUGCUGGACUACCUGCAGGACAACGAGUUCAUCUGCGGCAGCUAUCGCUGUGAGCAGUCCGUCCACGACGCGCUCCGCAGCAUCUUCGCCGGGCACAACGAGAUCCUCAACGUCUGGAACCACCGCCCUACCUCCCCGCCUAGCGCCGCCGCCGCCGACACCCCCACCUCCCCGCCCAGUGCCGCCGCCGCCACCCCCACCUCCCCCACCGCCGCCACCAUCCACAGCGUCGCCGCCCCUUCAUCACCUAGGACGCAGCACAACGCUGUCUCCCCCUCGCAGCGCCGACGCUCCUUCUGUCACACACGCUGCCGCCCAGCGCCAUCUCCCCUGCAUACCGCAUCCAGAGCGCCGUGCCCCGGCAUCGAUCCCCCAUCCACAGCGCCGUGCUCCUGUAUCCCCCAUCCACUGGUCCACACCCCCAACCAGGGUCGCAUUCCCCAUCGCCACGUCAUUCACGCCUCCGUUGAGCGCCGUACACUCUGCAUCCCCUCCCCUGGGGCCUCUUCUGUAGCUUCUUCUCGAGCUGCUGGUCGUUUCCUCUCACCCCUCACAAACCAUCAGACAAGGCCACUUGAAGAAUCUAGUGUUGUCUUUGAGCACUUAGUAUGCGAUGGGUUCCUGGAAGGGUAUAAGAAAUGGUUAUAUCACGGGGAGGGACCGUCAUGCCUUCCACAACGGUGUGAGCGUGAUGAUUUUCAAAAUGACGAUGUUGGAAAUGAGGACAUAUUUGAGGUACUUGAUGAGAUACCAGAAAUGCUUGAAGAUAUAGGACAUGAAUUUGGUGAAGUUGGGGACGGUGGUGGGAAUGAUGGUGACCUAAGGGAGGAUGGAAGUGAUCCAGAUAUAGAAGCUUUUCACCAAUUAUUAGAUGAUGCAGGCCAACAACUUUAUCCUGGGUGCACAAGCUUCUCAAAGCUACACUUUGUAUUGUACUAUGAGGUGGAUGAAAGAGUUCAAGACUGGGUCAUGGGAAGUGCUGCUAAGAAAUGGAGAGAUUUCAAGUCAGAUUUGAAGGCUUUGUGUUUUCAUGAAGAAAAGACCGACGAGGAGCUCCUUGCUGAUUGUGAUGCUAGAGUUCAUGAAGAUGACUGGAAAUGGCUUAUUGACCAUUGGAGGACUGAUGCAGCUAAGCAACGUAGUGAGAUAGGGAAAUUAAAUCGCCAAGGGAUGACCUUGUUUCAUACAACUGGCAGCAAGAGUCAUGCACGUGUUAUCGAAGAAGAGCAUAAGAAGAAUGGAUACCCCCCACGUAGGGAUGAAGCAUUUGUUAUAACACACACAAGUAAAAAAGGAGUUCCUUCCAACACGGCAGCGGCACAAAAAAUUAAAGAGCUGGAGAACAAAGCAAAUGAACAACCAGAAUUGUUAGAGAAAACCAUAGAGCAAGGUGAUCUUUUUCGCAUGUAUUUGGAAAGGAGAGGAAUGGUGAUUGGUUACAUUGAUCUUCCUGGUCAUCAGCAUAAUGCCUUUGCAAAGUGCGGUUUGUUUGACCUGGUGGAUGUUGUGCUUUUGGCUGUCCUGUUACUGGACUUUGAAGAAAAAUACAGGCAGACUGACUGCCGGGAAAUCUUCCAUCUGCCCUCAAUUGUCAGCCCGCCGGGGAAAAGCUAUACGCCGGUAAUACUGACAACUGCCGGUAAUGGGAUAAAGUGA